Molecule: transfer RNA, 68 nt
Filed under: Hemigrammus erythrozonus (glowlight tetra)
Lineage: Eukaryota; Metazoa; Chordata; Actinopteri; Characiformes; Acestrorhamphidae
Description: tRNA-Phe
Rfam family: tRNA
About the family: Transfer RNA (tRNA) molecules are approximately 80 nucleotides in length. Their secondary structure includes four short double-helical elements and three loops (D, anti-codon, and T loops). Further hydrogen bonds mediate the characteristic L-shaped molecular structure. tRNAs have two regions of fundamental functional importance: the anti-codon, which is responsible for specific mRNA codon recognition, and the 3' end, to which the tRNAs corresponding amino acid is attached (by aminoacyl-tRNA synthetases). tRNAs cope with the degeneracy of the genetic code in two manners: having more than one tRNA (with a specific anti-codon) for a particular amino acid; and 'wobble' base-pairing, i.e. permitting non-standard base-pairing at the 3rd anti-codon position.
Source: RNAcentral
GCUGGCGUAGCUUAACUAAAGCAUAACGCUGAAGACGUUAAGAUGAACCCUAGAAAGUUCCGCAAGCA